AUGACAAAAUCAAAUCCAGAUCAUUUACGCUUUUCCUCCCUGGCUGCCCAACAAUCGCCCACCAUCGUGAACGACACAGUAACUAUCCGGACCAGGAAGUUCAUUACUAACCGACUAUUUCAGAGGAAACAAAUGGUCAUUGAUGUCCUUCACCUUGGGAAGGCAACAGUACCAAAGACAGAAAUUAGAGAAAAACUAGUCAAGAUGUACAAGACCACACCUGAUGUCAUCUUUGUAUUUGGAUUCAGAACUCACUUUGGUGAUGGGAAGACAACGGGCUUUGGCAUGAUUUAUGAUUCCUUGGAUUAUGCAAUGAAAAAUGAACCCAAACAUAGACUUGCAAGGCAUGGCCUGUAUGAGAAGAAAAAGACCUCAAGAAAGCAGCGAAAGGAACGCAAGAACAGAAUGAAGAAAGUCAGGGGCACCACAAAGGCUAAUGUUGGUGCUGGCAAAAAGGCAAAGGAGUAAAGACUCUACAGUGAUGUUAUCUGCAGCCAUUGUUUAGAUUUUUCACAAGAGGAUU
This is an RNA transcript of Otolemur garnettii (small-eared galago), 523 nucleotides long. It is a transcript of the gene named 40S ribosomal protein S24 pseudogene, with no coding region annotated. The record is from RefSeq and is a predicted model, not a curated record. Lineage: Eukaryota; Metazoa; Chordata; Mammalia; Primates; Galagidae. The transcript has 2 exons.